This is a long non-coding RNA of Manis pentadactyla (Chinese pangolin), 2185 nucleotides long. RefSeq lists it as uncharacterized. The transcript is spliced from 3 exons. The record is from RefSeq and is a predicted model, not a curated record. NCBI's taxonomy places the organism in Eukaryota, Metazoa, Chordata, Mammalia, Pholidota, Manidae.
GGCAGUGCGGGCCGGGCUGCGGGGUCCCGGGCGCCGCGCGGUCCCGAGGUGCUGGAAGGGGCGCCGGUGUCUGCGCUCCCAGAGGCCUCGGGGCCCUGCCGGACAGCCGGGCUGCGGGGGGCGCUCCGGGCGGCCUCCCAACUCGCCCGCCGGUCGCGCCCUUCGGCCCUCCCAUCGCGCUGUCCCCUACUGUCACCUCUUUGCCCGACGGUGAACCCAGCCCGAAAGGCCGAGAAGUGCCCCGCGCCGCGGCCAUCCGCCCUCCUGGCGGCUCCAGGCCCUGCUGUCCCGCCGCCCCGCGUGCCUCUGCCGCCCCCUGCGGUGGCCAGGCCGGAGCCCCUCCCCUCCCUCGACCGCCUUGCCUCUCAGAGCUUGAAGCCCCAGGUUGUUUCCAGUUUCUAAGGCAAGGACCUUGUGUGAGACAUCUCUGCAGCCCCAGCACCUGGCAACAUGUCUGGCACUGUGUAGGCUCAAAUGUCAGCUGAAGGACUAGUUGGAGAGAGGAAAAGGAACUUCAUCUAAGAAGAAAACAAUAUAUAUUUUAGAAGAGAAACAUGAUCCUCAGAGGAGAAAAUUUCAACUCGAGAUUCUCUGGACAAGCCUUCAACAGCACUCACACCUCUUCUAAAAUAAACAGAAGAAAUCAUCCAUCACAUGCCUGUAUAACGGCAUUUUCACUGAAUAGGGGCUCUGUGUAUAACACGUCUCCAAGAUGUAAAAUGUAAAAUUUCCUGUGUGUGACUGCCACAAUAAGCCCUCUCAAACGUUCUAACAUCUGAUAUUGUAACAUUAUUUAUAUAUUUAGUUGUUUCUUUAAACUUCUUCUCUUUUUUUUUGGCAAUAGCCACAUCUGUUUCAGCAAUUUUGUGAUUUUUAAACUUCCUUCUGCGAUAGGCUUUUAAAACCGUGCAUGUUGCUUAUAUAAUUAUUACCUCUUUGGAAACUUGAAAAAAAAUGUAGUUCAAGAGGUCAGAAAUUGAAUUAUAAGCAUUCUUAAGAGAAUUUAUGCCAGGCAUAUUUUGCUGAUAGAUUUUAGCUCAAGGUGUUUAUGUAGUAGAAACAAUGAUUUAUAAUGGUAAACAUCUCUGGCUGAAUCAUCAGUGUAUCUUUAAUGGAUUAGUUAAGAAAUAGCAACUCAGGAAAUACAAAUUCUAAUCUUAGUUCUUUCUGAUAUAUAUCAGGAUAUCAGACACUCAUUUCACUUUAUCUCAAUUUUGUAUAUUAUUAAAUUGGGGAAACUGUUAAAAACAUCCACUCAAUAGUGGGGAAAGAAUGAAAGAGGCUUUAUGGUAUCACAGAAAGACAAAGAAUCCCAGUUAGAAGAUCUGGCUUUAAGCUUGACCUUGUCACUUAAAAUAGCCAUGUUAAUUUAUACAAGCCACUUCAUUCUCACAGGGUGUCAUUUUUCCUUAUCUGUCAAAGAGAGAUAAUAAUAUAUCUUAUUUAUCUUGUAAGGCUGUAGGGAUGAACAAAAUGAAGUAUUAUUGGUAAAAGGGCUUCAUCAAUUGUCAAGAGAUAUAUAAAUGUAAAUUAGAAUAUCACAAAUAACAUCAGAGCUUUGCUAUAGUACCAUCUGCUUCAGCAAGGAAUUCAUGUAAGGCUGCUCUGUUUCAGCCGGUUCCAAGGGGUGUGGCAGUGGCAAGGCUCCAUCAUGUUCAUCUUUGCAGGGAUUUUGAAGUUGCUGAUACACUGAAAGUCAACAGAUAUUUAUUUUAGAAUUCUAGUUCUGUGAAGUCACACAUAUGCUGUUUCAAUGAUUUAUAUUUGUUUUGAGAAAUAGCAGAUUUUCCCUGUUCAUAUGUUCUCCAUUUCUAGCCCCAUGAAUAAUAAACUGAAAACAGAUAUAGAAGCAACAAUGGCCAUCUUCUUAUUACAGAGCUCAGCUCUUGGAAGGCUGCAGAACAGUCAUCAGGGUUUGAGAAGACCUCAGGGAGCUAGCUGUAGUAAAGGCAACCAGAGUGAUGGUUCAUUUUAUCUGCUGCCCCUUCUGAAAUCAGGUAGUUGUAGGGUACAGUUGAAUCUCUGUUUUUUUCUUUUAAAUCAAAAGCACAUUAAUAAAAUAAGCCAGGCGGAGAAAGACAAGUAUCAAAUGAUUUCAAUCAUCUGUGGAGUAUAUGAACAAAGAAAAAACUGAAAGAACAAACCAGCAGCAGACUCACAGAACCCAAGAAUGGAUGAACAGAUA